AACCAGCACCUCAAGUGGUCAGGAUGAUUAUUGGGCCUAAAGCAUCCGUAGCCUGUUCUGUAAGUUUUCGGUUAAAUCUAUGCGCUCAACGUAUAGGCUGCCGAAAAUACUGCAGAACUAGGGAGUGGGAGAGGUAGACGGUACUCGGUAGGAAGGGGUAAAAUCCUUUGAUCUAUUGAUGACCACCUGUGGCGAAAGCGCUCUACUGGACCAUUACUGACACUCAGAGGCGAAAGCUAGGGUAGCAAAAGGG
This 253-nucleotide ribosomal RNA is filed under the name uncultured archaeon. Its description in RNAcentral is "partial 16S ribosomal RNA". It matches the Rfam family "Archaeal small subunit ribosomal RNA", at positions 474 to 727 of the family's 1478-position model. The record is from RNAcentral.